Molecule: long non-coding RNA, 8228 nt
Organism: Triticum dicoccoides
Lineage: Eukaryota; Viridiplantae; Streptophyta; Magnoliopsida; Poales; Poaceae
Exons: 4
Source: RefSeq, a predicted model, not a curated record
CCUAUUGACGCACGCCCUAGAUCAGAUCCCGCCGACGACUGCCCCUCCUCAUCGUCCCCCCGCCGCCCCUCUCCUUCGAUAUGAUCUCCUUGGCGCCCCGCCGUCGCCGGCGACUCCUCGGCUCCUCGCAGUCGCCGUCACAUCAGACGCCGGCCACUCCUCUGCGGCCUCACGCUGUCGUCCUCUCCUUCGCAAGGAACACCCGACCCUUCCUCCGCGGCCUUGUGACGCCGACCACUCCUUCGUGGCCUCACGCCGCCCUCCUCUCCCUCCUUCCUUCGUCCAAGCCCAGGACUUCCCCUCCCUGACCCGAUCUGACGGAGAGAGGGCCAAGCCUUGCCACUCCGAUGGUCACUUUGGCCAAAUCCGGUUGGGGGAGCCACCGUAGAGCCUCAACAUCGGCGCAGCAGCAGCAGUCCUUGCGACGGUGGGUGCCGGAGAUCGUCAAGCAACUCGCCGUCGGCGGCCACGACCACCUCAUUCCCUGCCGUGCGUCUCCGUCAACUACUGUGGCAUUGACGACAGCGAGUUAGGAGCCUACGAGGUAGACGCCCUGCUGACUAUGUCGUCAAGGCCUCCACAUGGCUCCUCUUGUGGCAGACUGCUGGUUGUUUGCCAUGUCCUUGAUCACCCUAAUUUAAUCCAAGUCAGGGUAGUCUCGUGCAUUAAGCCAUCUGGCUCUGCUCUGCAAUUUCUCGAGAGAACAUUGUGGAGAACCUAACUCAUGGAUAUUUGGUUCAGUUUUUGGGAUGAAUUGAUGACAAGGAGAGCACGUUGGAAAUAGUGGAAGUGAAAACGGGAGAGGAUGAUGGGAACGAUCAAGUACAUCACAAUCAUCGGCUUCAUGUGGCACUCCUACACCAACGCAAUUCAGGUUUGAUAAUUGAUGAGGGUGGGUGCCAUGGUCAUCUAUGCUGGGCUUCUGCAUGAUCACAUCUUCCACAUGUUCGGUGCUGGAGUGGCUGAUCUUGUCGAAGGGUUACGUUUUCCUCUUCUCAUGGAUUUUGACCAUUGUUUUAGAGGGAUUCGGAUAAUGGUUCUGGUAGUUAGUACAUUCAUAUUCUUUGGCAUCCUCAAGCUGUUGGCUGGAUCUAUUGCAAUUGUUGUGAUUUAAAUUAUGAUGGCCUGCAGCAUGCCUCCCUAUAUUUAAGGCAAAUGAUAAUGGAAGUACACCUUCAUGAACAAGCUAGCCGAGGUCUUGGAAUUCCAACCUAGGUAAACAAGUGAACUCAUUUAACGGUUUCCCCUUUUCUGGUGAUGCAGGUAUAGCUCAUUCAUUAAGGGCUACUCAGCUCUGUCUUUUUCUCUCUCUUUGGUGAUUGGAUUAUAUGCAACUCUGUGUUGAAGGAUCUGUUCAUGCUAAAUUUAACAAAUCUUGUCAUGUUUUCAUAAAUUAUCUAUUUGAUCACUCUACGUGGAAUGGUAAACAUUUGUAGCAUGAUCAGGGUUUGAUUAUUUUUAUCAGUGCACAUACCUUCAGAAAAUAAACCAAUGGGGCUAUCUUGUUCGUCUUUCUACUUAUGUAUGUAUACAUAUGGGAUGCUUUGUUAGUUCUGUUGUGCAAAUAAUCAUUCUUUGUGUUGAUGAGCUAUGAUAAUGGCUCCCCAAAUUACAAUACUUGCUAAAUGUACACUUUGUUGCGAUGAAAUCCUAUUUAUAAACAGUAUAUUUUCCUAAUGGAUUGUGAUUAAACUUUGUUGCUUUUACCCACUUUGGUGCUUCUUCAGUGUAUAUGUACUAAAUCGUAAAAUAAGAUGAUUGUAUAUUUUGCUUUAUAGUACACCGGUUCAUGAGAAGAAUGCUGAGAAGAUUCAGCUUGCUGUGCUAAAUGUCAUUCUGGCUUGACUCGAUAAUAUCGUGGUAACAUGGUGGAAUAUUUUAUUUUUUAUUGUAACAAACUGUAGUCAAAUUCAUCAGAUAUAUAUAUAUACUUCCAGGAUCGGAGGAACAAGUAGUUUUAGCCUUCUGUUUUCGAAUUCUUAGUUUAACAUCUCUAUACUUGUUGAAGCUGUAUCUUCAACUCUACAUGAGCAUAGUGAUAUGCAGUAUAAAACAUCUCCAUUUUUUCCUUCUUUGAUGAGCAUGGAAUAUCCAAAUUGACAUCUAGAGAUAGAUAAGUUGGUAGGGUAAUGUUCACUAGCUUUUUUUAGGAUCAAGAUUGAUGUGUUAAUUUUCUUAUCAAAGGAUGAUUAACGGAAUCGUGGUAUUGUGGCCAAAAUAUACUCUCUUCAGUUUGUUGGUAAUGAGCAAAAUGUAGUCCUACUGUUAAUGGGCUUUGGAUUUGUGCGUGAAAUACAUUGUUGCAUGCAUGUUUCCUAAGUGAAAAAUGUAAUGGUUCUGAAUAUAGCUGGAGAUGAAUUAUUUGCAGCAUCCAGGCAAUAACAGUGGCAUGGAUACAGUUAACAGUACUAGCAAUUGAUGAUAUUGUCAUAGCAAUUUUAAUUUGGAAAAAAUAUGUGAGAGAUUAGUCUUUUCUUUUCUUUCAUGCAAUGAAGAGAGUACAAAGUAUACUACAAUUUUUUGUAACCCACACAAUGAUUCAAGAAGCAGGGCCAAACAGGACCAAUGAAGACGCAUACAGUACUGUUCUUCAUGAUAUGAUGUUAUUUUUUCCCCACAAAUGAAUUUAAUAUUUAAUUCUUUGUGAGACAACUACUAAAAUGAAGUAGUUUAUGGGUUUGAAAAUUCCAUGUAUUGUGCAUAUUUUUAUGUGCAUACUUGACUCAGAUGCAAGCUGUUCGCAGUACGUGUAUUCUGAAAGAAAACAUGACGUAGCUGCUGAAUGCUCUCUGAAACAUAGCAUAUUUUUUAAAAUACUCUAUUUGCUUUGAAUGAGGUUGCCUUUUGCUUUAAACAAUUAACUGCAUUCUGAAAUACUUUUAAAUUUGGCUAAGAUUAAGAGAUCUAGCAAAUGAGUCCAAGUCUCAAAACCAGGUGCAUCUAGAGUAUUUCUCCUCCACGGCGGGUUGUCCAUCUCCAUAUAUAGUGGAGUGUUGCUCUUAUAAAACAUCUGGUCUAUUUGAAUGGCACAUUACUGUUCCGAGUCUCCAAGAACCAGGUACAUCUCUCUUGCCUUAGCCUCUUCUGAUUAUCCUUCCUGUUAUUAUGUAGGAAGCAGAUUACCAACCUUCCAAGCUCUAUAUUCAGCCUUCCUUUCUCAUUGCUCAUACAAGUUCAAUGUAUGAACAUUCUUGUUACACUUAGUCCUUCCAGUUUCUUGAGAUAACCAUGUCUCAAUUUUUUGAACAGCUACAGUACCUGUACAGUAAGAAUCGAACUGCAAAGGAGCUGUACCAUCUGUUGUUUCAUGACUCCCUUAUGCCCUUGCGAGCAGCGGCCACCAUUGGGCAGGGACAGAGCCAUUGAGCACCCUUGCUCGGUGGUCCACCACCCUUCUCGCCUCCCGUUCGACGCCUCUUCUCCACACCCCUUCGUUCGAUGUGCUUCGACUCAUGAUGUACCAGAGUGGAGUCAGUAUAGAUAUCAGAGGUGCACAUGGGGUCCUCUUUAGUUUUUUUCCUUAAUUGUUAACCAUCUCCAAUUUUAUGUCAACUCUACUUAUUCCAGUUUCAUAGUUGGAGGUAUUAGAUAAUACAUCAAUUUAUAUCUAUCGCCCUAAAGAAAAUGUACAUUGCUGAUACAAAUAAUCUUUAUUUUGUUUACAAACAUGUAAUGAAAUCUACACUACGAAUAAGAAGACUGAAGUAUAGGACGCGCUCAGGGGUGUGCGGCAGCCCAUGGCGGGCAAGGCGUGCUGCAGUGGGGUUAUGGCAGCAUUAUGGUCAUGAGAGAGCUAGCAUGCUCUUUGGUAUAAAUUAGUUACCCUCCUGUGGGGUUAUUUUUUAUUCUAAGUAUUAACAUGCCUUCAAAAUAAUUCUGUAAUAGGUAUAUAAUUACAGGUUGUUGUGUGAGCUGCACCUAAAUUGAGAACUGAAACUGCAAUGAAUUACUUGAAACUUGGUGCCCUUAUAUUUGCCCCAUUUGUUGAGGUUCAGUUUGACUAAAAUGGACAGACCAUGAGCUCCUUUAGGAACUUGUUGGGAAAUGUCGCUUGUGUGGAGAGGCUGGAAAUACGAAGACAAGUAUGUGUUUGAUUAUUUUGAAGCUAUUUAACAUAUUAGUGGUGUCAACGAGGGUAAGUCCAGGUUCCACAUGUCAAGCUAUAUUAGUUUUUUCGCAAAGAAAUUUCUCUUUAUACAACAAGACAAUACUUAUUUGUGAUUUUGCAUGCCGUCGUGGAAUUCUAGCGAACAUGUCAAUUUGUUCGUGAUUUCGGACGUACAGUAUUUGGGUCCCAUGCACAAGGAGACGUUGAUAAGUUACUUCGGAUAUACAUAUAGACCGAACUAAAUAUGUAUUUAGAGAUUAUAAAAGUGUGUGUUGUUUUGCAAUAGUUUUAACCCACUCAACUGUAUUAUAAAUGUGCAAAAAAAAAAAUCUGGCCCGGUGGCAAAGCAGAGUAUUUAGCUAGGUGAGCUAUAGACCAGGAGCUGGUGGGUGGUAGGGCAAGCACGCCGCUUCUCCUCUCUGUCUCCAGAGAGGCGCGUGCAUCGAAAAAUGAACAUAUCUGAGCCAUGCGCCUUGCUUCUACUGAUUUCUAUAGAGAUUGGCUCGCUUAGAUUUUAGACUAGGCGGUUGCUGUUGAGGUCGCCAAGGUGAUCCUACAGCACUGCCAUGGGGAUUGUUCAUGAUUCUAUCUGGACAAGCGGUGGUGGUGAUUGGCUGGGUGGUGGUGUUGCCUUGGGGAGAGACAAAGUGAAGGUAAAAGCAAGCAAGAUCCGAUGGUGCUGCUGUGGGGAUAGCCAAAGUCAAGACUUCGACUACGAACUCGUCGCAACGAACCUGGACGCUACGAGCCUGAUUCAUGGACCAAUGGAGGGUCUUGACGCUGUUAGGGUUGGGAUAGGAUGAAUGUGGAGGGUGACGUGCUUGGUUGAGUGCCCCUCGAAGAUUGUGUCCUCCCCGUGGACCUGUUUGUGGCCAUCGUAGAGGAGAUUGUGGCCCUUCCCCGAUGAGCAAGAACAAUGUAGGCGGCAGCAGGAGGUAGGGGUGGAUGCGGGGAUGUAUGUUGAUGGUUUCUCGAGGUUGCGAUGUGGAAAGUCAAGAGCACGAAGUCGAAAUCGGAUAGGAGUUUGAGUUCUUGUUGGCCGUGGCUGGCUCCCACUUUAGUGAUGUAUUUUUUCAGUUUGUUGAAGUUCAGUUUUUUUAACCUAGAGUGCCAUUCGCAACAUGAUUUAGGUGACCCAGAAGUUCCCUUUCAUCAUCAUUUAUAGAGCGUUCAGAGUUCCGAGCUCUGUCGACGUCGCCAGCCUUGUGAAAUGCCAACUGGUCGUCGCUUCUUUCGGUGGUAAUUCUCGAUUCUUUGCACCCUUACAUGCAGAUUCAGAGAUGAGUGUCAAGGAUAUGUCGAAUGAUGAAUAUAUUCAGAUACUAAGAAAGGUUCUAAAAUGUGUUUUGGCAGAGUGCUAACACGCUACAUUGGAGAGAAAGCGUUGAGAGAAUGCUUUGUUGGGAUGAUAAACAUGAAUAAUCAAUCCUCAUUCCAAGGUUAGAUUUGUACUUCCUGCCCAGUUCUUUUACACAAAGGACCAAGCCUCUUACUUUAUCCAUUUCUUAAUUUUGUUCCUUCACAGAAAAGCAUUUUCUCAUUUCAAUCUUUCUCCAUUUGGUAUGAGUAUGACACACGCUCUGAAUUUUUGACUAUUCUUGGUUGAUUAAUGGUUGGUGUAUUGCCUUCCACUUUGGAUUAUUCUAAAUCUUCUUGCUUAGGCUAUGUGUACCCUUCUGUCAUGUGCCACCAUCGAUCUGAGCAAAAAUCAGUGUAGAUGAACCGAGCUAUUUUAUUAUAAGCUGUGUACAUAACUUCCUGGAAAGAUAACCAUGUAGUUAUUGUUUUAUGUCGUAUAUAUUCAGAUAGGUGAAUUAUCACAAGUUGGUCCCGGUAUGUUAAUAGGAUUGUGCCAACCUAGAGUCUUUUCAGAUCGUGCCAACUCUGUUUGGGGUUUCCUUCUACCUAAUCAAGGCUUAGUCCAGUUUGUCUUGUCCUUAUCUCCUUUUCUGUCAUAAAUUCUUCAUCUAUUCAAGAAGCUCAUUUUUGUUAGUUGGAACAACUGAAAAAAUCAUACUCCCCUUCCUAAAUAUAAGUCUAAUUGUUUUUUCAAAAGUCAAACGAGUGCAUGUUUGACCAAGUUUUUAGAAAAUAUAUCGAUAUCCACUAUACCAAAUUUAUAUCAUUCGAUCCGUCAUGAAAAGUAGUUUUAUAUUUUAUCUACUAGGUUUUUCAGAUGUUGAUAUUUUAUUCUAUAAUCUUGGUCAAACAUUCAAAUGGUUGACUUGGAGGAUAUCAAUACACCUUAUUUUCUGGAAUGGAGGGAGUAUCAUUCUUGUUGUGACGGACAAACAGAAAGAAAGGUCCGCAAAGAGUGCACUCACAAAAGCCAUGUACUGUAGACCAUGAAUGAUUACCUUGAAAGCUUUCUCAUCGAGGCCAUAGUUCCAAACUAGACCAUCCUUUAAGAAACAUUCAAUCAGAAUUGGAGGAAAUGCCAUCCAUUGGGGUUCUGAAGUUCUGAACUUUGAUCUCUCUAUUUGAAUCGUUGUUAUUAUUUUGUCUGUUGGCCAUGAGCAAAGAAUCUGGAGAGUGCCUAAUGUUCCUCAACUUUUCUUAUAUUCCAAAUUCACUAUUAGUGUUGAUCAUCUUCAAAGAACAGAAAACGUAUGACAGGAUUAAGGUUGUAAUUUGUGCUCUCUUUUUUCCAAAAUUCACUGCUUGAUUAAUUUUGUUGUAGAAGCUUGAGAGAAAAAGAUAGUAAAUACAUAGUAACUUUACAUUGAUGAAUUUUCCCCAAUGGACGUAACCAGCUCUGCUUUCGCGGUCUCAAAAGGAGAAGCCCCGAACGCUUGCAGUUGCUUUUUUCUCUUUAUUCCUUCUAAGCGAGCCUCUAAAGACUCUACUCCUACUUUAAACUUAGAGUCCGAUUCUUCCAAUUCUUCCAAAGACAAAGUAGAACUUCGUUUUGAGGAGUUUGCCCCCCGUUCGCCGCCGUCCAACCGGCGGCUACUCUGGGAUGGAUCGAGGUUUAGGCCAACAGAGGGGGCUUGCUCCCUUUCUUCUGGAGCUAAGGAAGGACUAGCAACACACCUGCUUUUAACUAUAUAUAAAUAGGACGUGGAUUUUUGGGACAUGCGGCUACGCGCUGCCGUUAUCACGGUCGUCCGGCGACGCGUUGUGAUUACUACUCUUAAUAGCACUUUCGCAAUACGCGCGCGCCUGGAGUCGCGCAUGGCACGAAUACGCGCGUUAUACGCCCCGGCCGCACAGUCACAUUAAAUGAAUCUGACGAGAAAAAACAAAAACGCCCGGUCCCACACGGGGGGAUGGAUUAACUCCCUCGUCCUUCGGUGGAUGCGCAUAGUUGAAUCAUCAUCGCCCCCGCAACAGCUGCCCCCAGCGCGUGCCUGAAUUUGCUCCCCGCGACGAACAGAGGAAGGAGCGGCGAUGGGUUCCUCGCAGACGGAGAUAAGGUUAGCAUGCCGGACCCCCGCGCCCUCCCCCUCAUCCAUGUUCUUGGUUCUCUGUUAAACUAGCGCGCACGCAUGUCUUUGGUCUCGACGACGCUCGUGGGGGCUGGUUGUGGAUCUGAGCCGUUGAGCGAUACCCUGCGCUUGGAUUUCCAGCCAGAUCCAGAUUUUCUUAGCAGACACACGGGGAUGCUUGAUUCUCUACGGGAGGUGACAUAGGACCACCCAGUCGGGGCGUUUGCAGAUUUGUUAGAUUUAGUUGAUGUUCGUCCACCGGAGGAGCAGAUUCAGAGGGAUGAAAACAAGUAUGUUGCCCUUGAUGACAAGGUGGGAUGGGUUAGUAGGAACAGAAGAGAUGGCAUGCCUGACGAGCGGACAACAAGCGCCGGAAGAGUGACCAUGUGUGCAUUUGUCUGCAUUUUGCCUCGUUCCCAUGCAUGCAAAUCAUAGAGAACGCGGGCUGAUGCUCACCGGCGACGGACAACAAAGGAGUCAACGGGCAAAGAGAUUUCUCCAACUUGGUGCUGGCGAUUUGAGAUUGACUGUGGUGUUGCUUCCACAGGUGGUGUGGCCGGUCAAUUUAUAAGCGGUCGUCUACUGCGUAGCUGGCCUCUAGAAGAGUCGUUGCGUUGAUGGAGCAUUAAAUGAUAGACGGGUGGCUUUAUGAUUUGCAGGGCAGAUGGAGGAAUUGAUUUCAUUGGCAGUGA